Molecule: long non-coding RNA, 640 nt
Filed under: Homo sapiens (human)
Lineage: Eukaryota; Metazoa; Chordata; Mammalia; Primates; Hominidae
Description: HSALNT0194162
Source: RNAcentral
AGAGAGCAGGAAAUGAGAUGUCAACAUAAUGACUAGGUGUGUGGUUGAAAAUGACUAGGUGUGUGGUUGAAGAUGAAUUUACUCUUCCUGAAACGCUAGCUUGAAAUGUUAAAGCUGAUGCCUCUUAUGGGUUUGAAUACAGGCAGGAGAAAGAGUCCAGCUUUCUCUCUCUCGUGUUGAAAGAUGGGACACCAUGGCAUGGAGACAGCAGAGGCUACAGUGAGCAAAAGAAGAUGACAUGCAGGAAGAAUGAGAGGCACAGAUGGAGGUCUCAGGACUGCUGAAGAUCCUGGCUCAGAGCCUCCCUGAGGCCAACCUCACCCCAAAUUCCAUGUGCUUUGGAUAUAUGAGCCACUUCCCUUUUUGGCCAGCGUACUUCAGAUAGAUCUCGGUACUAUUUCAAAUACUGGGAAUAUGAAGAUAACUAAAGCACAGUUCCUGCCCUUCAGAAUAUCCUGAUCUGGUGAGGGUGAAAAUAAAUUCAGAGGAGAUGGUGACAUGCAGUGAUAAGCGCAGGGAUGCAGGCAUGCAUUUAGAGCUAUGGCAGGGACGCAGGCAUGCAUUCAGAGCUAUGGCAGGGACGCAGGCAUGCAUUCAGAGCUAUGGCAGGGACGCAGGCAUGCAUUCAGAGCUAUGGCAG